ACACAGUUGGUCAGAAUAGUGCACAUGAUAAGCAUGCUGAAUAAAGAAUGUACCAAAAUCUUAAUAGCUAUUUUCCUAAGAGGAUUGAAGGGC
Molecule: non-coding RNA, 93 nt
Organism: Arvicanthis niloticus (Nile rat)
Lineage: Eukaryota; Metazoa; Chordata; Mammalia; Rodentia; Muridae
Source: RefSeq, a predicted model, not a curated record